CGAGUUGUUGUACCCGAUUUGUCACGCCCCGGGACCGGCGGAGGCCCUCCCGGUAGCGUGCCCAGACCCGCCAUAUGUCUACACAUAUAAGGCGUCUAGAAUAAAAGCGGAAGUAAAGGCAAGCAGGAGAACAAAUAGAAGAAGUGAAAUAACAAGCAACUAAUGAUAUCAGAGCGAGUAAAGUUCUAACAUCUAUACUAAUAGUAAUAGAGCAUAACUAAAACAUAAAAGUAAACAUAAGUUAUACAGUAUCAGCCUCUAAUACAAAAAUGGUGGUCUCUAGUACACUGGUAAACUCUCGACCUCUCCAAAAUAAAGUACAACGAGAGGUAGACCACCUAGCAAAACGUCCUCGAAGGAAGCUAGCUCGAAGCAACUCCCUUCCCGCGGUCCCUGGCCUCACCCUGAGUGGAAGGCUCUGAAAAACAUCGAGAAAAAGAGGGCGUGAGAACUAUAAUUUAUAGUUCCCAGUGGGCAAUUACUGACCUCAGCUCNN
This 496-nucleotide long non-coding RNA is filed under the name Ananas comosus (pineapple). RNAcentral describes it as "long non-coding RNA (ACOM_LNC041564)". Lineage: Eukaryota; Viridiplantae; Streptophyta; Magnoliopsida; Poales; Bromeliaceae. The record is from RNAcentral.